AGGCUUGUGACUACUUGAAGGCUCACCACACAUCCUCCAGGCAUUUGUCAAGGUUCCAGUGUUUAAGGAAGCACCACAGACUGAUUGUCACACAGGAUUUAUUCCAGACAGAGAAAGGAUUGCAACCCAACAUGAGCAGACACGGCAAGCCUGGGGAGCCAAGAUGAAGAGACCCUCAGGACCCAUUGUGUUUUCAUAUUGUUCCAAUUAGUCCUUAUUACAGAGCAAUGCUGUUUGAACAUGUGGUCUCCUUAACCCCAGCCAGUGAUUGGGACAUGCCACCAUAGCAGCAAAUGCCCAGCAUCUUCCUACUGAGGGUCCCUGCCCUCAGGGCUAGGGUGGACGAUAUUACAUUUUUUUUGAAUUGAAGUUUUGUGGGAACCCUACGUCAAGCAAUCUAUGGGCACCGUCUUUCCACAAUCAUUUGCUCACUUUGUGUCAUAUUUUAAUGUGGUUUGGUAUCAUAAAGAAACACAGCUAUCCGUGGAAAUUAAGUGCAAAAGAAUCUUCACUGAAAAGCCCAAGGUGUGUUUCCUAAUGAAAUCAUCCUCAUGUAGCUAAGAUUAGGAGAAAGGGAACAAUUUGACAUUUACUGACAUUAGGAGCCAAAGCCCAUUUUUCAGAGCUUGUUUGAAGGUAACGAAGCCCAGAACUUCUUCAUAAAGAUAAUGGGCUGGCAUGAUUAAGGGACUUUCCCUUGGGGACCUGAUAAUCAUGAUCGAAGGUCUGAUGCCUCAUUGAAAGCACUUCAGCUAGUACUUCCUUCUGAUGCUGAAUGUGUGCACCUUGGGAUCCUAUUAACACGAGUGUGAGUUAGAUAGCCAGGCUGAAGUGUCAAAGUAAAGAAGAAGAAAAAGAAGAGACGAUAAAAGGAAAGUGUGUUAUUCCAGAA
Myotis myotis is the source of this 892-nucleotide long non-coding RNA. RefSeq lists it as uncharacterized. The transcript has 5 exons. NCBI's taxonomy places the organism in Eukaryota, Metazoa, Chordata, Mammalia, Chiroptera, Vespertilionidae. The record is from RefSeq and is a predicted model, not a curated record.